UUGCCCAUUUGACCACCACUUUUUCACUUCAUAUAUUCAAUGGCUAUGCUUCUGGAAUAAAAUGUAAUUGCCAUGGUCUGAUGGACAAAGAGUGGCCAUGUCUUUUUUUUCCUAUAUGAAAAGGCAAAAUAAUCUAAC
This is a small nucleolar RNA of Phascolarctos cinereus (koala), 138 nucleotides long. The record is from Ensembl. NCBI's taxonomy places the organism in Eukaryota, Metazoa, Chordata, Mammalia, Diprotodontia, Phascolarctidae.